AACGAACGCUGGCGGCAUGCCUAAUACAUGCAAGUAGAACGAGACCUUCGGGUCUAGUGGCGCACGGGUGCGUAACGCGUGGGAACUUGCCCUUAGGUUCGGAAUCACUCCCCGAAAGGGGUGUUAAUACCGGAUAAUGUCUUCGGACCAAAGAUUUAUCGUCUUGGGAGUGGCCCGCGGUGGAUUAGCUAGUUGGUAUGGUAAAAGCCUGUCAAGGCUACGAUCCAUAGCUGGUCUGAGAGGAUGACCAGGCACACUGGGGCUGAGAGACGGCCCAGACUCCCGGCAGAGGCAGGAAUGGGGAAUGAUCAACGAUGGGCGAGAGCCUAAUCCAGCCAUACCGCGUAGAUGGUGUGUGACUGAAGAUUGAGAGACUCUGUUGCCCGUGAUGAUAGUGACAGUACCGUGAGAAUAAGCUCCGGCUAACUCCGUG
Molecule: ribosomal RNA, 433 nt
Filed under: uncultured bacterium
Lineage: Bacteria
Description: partial 16S ribosomal RNA
Rfam family: Bacterial small subunit ribosomal RNA
Source: RNAcentral